RNAcentral lists this ribosomal RNA (427 nucleotides) under uncultured bacterium. Its description in RNAcentral is "partial 16S ribosomal RNA". It matches the Rfam family "Bacterial small subunit ribosomal RNA", at positions 354 to 796 of the family's 1533-position model. The record is from RNAcentral.
GUGGGGAAUCUUGCGCAAUGGGCGAAAGCCUGACGCAGCAACGCCGCGUGCGGGAUGACGGCCUUCAAGGUUGUAAACCGCUUUCAGCAGGGACGAAAAUGACGGUACCUGCAGAAGAAGCCCCGGCUAACUACGUGCCAGCAGCCGCGGUAAUACGUAGGGGGCAAGCGUUGUCCGGAUUCAUUGGGCGUAAAGAGCUCGGAGGCGGUUCAGUAAGUCGGGUGUGAAAGCUCCGAGCUCAACUCGGAGAGGCCACCCGAUACUGCUGUGACGUGAGUACAGUAGGGGAGCGUGGAAUUCCUGGUGUAGCGGUGAAAUGCGCAGAUAUCAGGAGGAACACCAGCGGCGAAGGCGGCGCUCUGGGCUGUAACUGACGCUGAGGAGCGAAAGUGUGGGUAGCAAACAGGAUUAGAAACCCGGGUAGUCC